Molecule: small nuclear RNA, 162 nt
Filed under: Betta splendens (Siamese fighting fish)
Lineage: Eukaryota; Metazoa; Chordata; Actinopteri; Anabantiformes; Osphronemidae
Description: U1 spliceosomal RNA (ENSBSLG00000005735.1)
Rfam family: U1 spliceosomal RNA
About the family: U1 is a small nuclear RNA (snRNA) component of the spliceosome (involved in pre-mRNA splicing). Its 5' end forms complementary base pairs with the 5' splice junction, thus defining the 5' donor site of an intron.
Source: RNAcentral
AUACUUAACUGGCAGGGGGAUACCAUGAUUAAAAAGGUGGUUCACCCAGUGUGGCGCUCGGCCAUUGCACUCUAGCUGUCUGACCCCUGCGGAUUCCCCAAAUGUGGGAAUCUCGACUGCAUAAUUUGUGCUACUGCGAGACUGCGUCCGCGCUCUCCCCUG